GAGGGGAUGGCUUAGUGGCAGAGCAUCUGCCUAGCAAGCACAAGGUCCUGGGUUCAAUCCCAGUACCGCCA
RNAcentral lists this transfer RNA (71 nucleotides) under Camelus bactrianus (Bactrian camel). It matches the Rfam family "tRNA". Rfam says of the family: Transfer RNA (tRNA) molecules are approximately 80 nucleotides in length. Their secondary structure includes four short double-helical elements and three loops (D, anti-codon, and T loops). Lineage: Eukaryota; Metazoa; Chordata; Mammalia; Artiodactyla; Camelidae. RNAcentral also lists the same sequence under 1 other name. The record is from Rfam by way of RNAcentral.